CGGGGGAGUACGUGUGCCGGGUGACCCUGGGGACUGUCACGCAGGAGGCAUCUGUCAUUGUCACCGUGCCCGGCGGUGCCGGCACCUAUUACCCCUCCGGCGUCUCCCAGCCCCUCCGCAUCGAGUCCUCGUCCUCGGCCAUCGCCGAGGGACAGACCCUGGACCUCAACUGCGUGGUGGCAGGAUCCGGCCCUGCCACCGUGACGUGGUACAAGCGCGGUGGCUCCCUGCCCGCUGGUCACCAGGUGUCGGGCACCCGCCUGCGCAUCCCCCAGGUGACGGCGGCCGAUUCAGGGGGGGACGUGU
Molecule: long non-coding RNA, 306 nt
Organism: Pygoscelis adeliae (Adelie penguin)
Lineage: Eukaryota; Metazoa; Chordata; Aves; Sphenisciformes; Spheniscidae
Exons: 3
Source: RefSeq, a predicted model, not a curated record